RNAcentral lists this ribosomal RNA (110 nucleotides) under Trypanosoma cruzi. Its description in RNAcentral is "partial 5.8S ribosomal RNA". It matches the Rfam family "5.8S ribosomal RNA", at positions 62 to 154 of the family's 154-position model. Rfam says of the family: 5.8S ribosomal RNA (5.8S rRNA) is a component of the large subunit of the eukaryotic ribosome. It is transcribed by RNA polymerase I as part of the 45S precursor that also contains 18S and 28S rRNA. Functionally, it is thought that 5.8S rRNA may be involved in ribosome translocation. The record is from RNAcentral. Lineage: Eukaryota; Euglenozoa; Kinetoplastea; Trypanosomatida; Trypanosomatidae.
GUGGUAUCAAUUGCAGAAUCAUUCAAUUACCGAAUCUUUGAACGCAAACGGCGCAUGGGAGAAGCUCCUCAGAGUCAUCCCCGUGCAUGCCAUAUUUCUCAGUGUCGAAC